Molecule: ribosomal RNA, 253 nt
Filed under: uncultured bacterium
Lineage: Bacteria
Description: partial 16S ribosomal RNA
Rfam family: Bacterial small subunit ribosomal RNA
Source: RNAcentral
UACAGAGGGUGCAAGCGUUAAUCGGAAUUAUUGGGCGUAAAGAGUGCGUAGGUGGUUAAAUAAGUUAGAUGUGAAAUUCUUGGGCUCAACCUAAGGACUGCGUUUAAUACUAUUUAACUAGAGUAUUGUAGAGGAAAAUGGAAUUUCCGGUGUAGCGGUGAAAUGCGUAGAUAUCGGAAGGAACACCAGUGGCGAAGGCGAUUUUCUGGACAAAUACUGACACUGAGGUACGAAAGCGUGGGGAGCAAACAGG